GUAGCAUCUACAUUUGAAUCCAGAUUGGCAGUCUUGCAAUUGUAGCAUCUACAUUUAAAUUGACAUAGUCUUGCAACGGGCUUCUUAGCAUAUUGCAGCCCAAAAGUGUUAAAAGGUUCAAUUUUAGCCCCAAAACAUAAUAUUUUAGUCCAAAAGCCCAAAAGCCUAAAAGCCCAAAAUCAUUUUGGGAUUCCCGAUUUGUCCCGAAAUCCCGAAACUAUUUUGGGAUUCCCGAAAAUUUGGUUUGGGAUCGGUAUUGAAAUUGGGAUUCCCGAAAUUUUUGGUUUGGGAAUCGGGACAAGGGUUUCGGUAUGGGAUCCCAUACCGAACCACCCCUAGUCUUAUUAGGUGUUGGUCUCACAUAUGUUUCAAGAGGCGACUUAUAAGUUUUAGGGAGAAGAGAGAGUCCAC
Molecule: long non-coding RNA, 411 nt
Filed under: Malus domestica (apple)
Lineage: Eukaryota; Viridiplantae; Streptophyta; Magnoliopsida; Rosales; Rosaceae
Description: long non-coding RNA (MDOM_LNC001182)
Source: RNAcentral